Molecule: ribosomal RNA, 500 nt
Filed under: uncultured bacterium
Lineage: Bacteria
Description: partial 16S ribosomal RNA
Rfam family: Bacterial small subunit ribosomal RNA
Source: RNAcentral
AUUGAACGCUGGCGGCAUGCCUUACACAUGCAAGUCGAACGGCAGCACGGGAGCAAUCCUGGUGGCGAGUGGCGAACGGGUGAGUAAAGUAUCGGAACGUGCCCAGUCGUGGGGGAUAACGUAGCGAAAGUUACGCUAAUACCGCAUACGACCUAUGGAUGAAAGCGGGGGAUCGCAAGACCUCGCGCGAUUGGAGCGGCCGAUAUCAGAUUAGGUAGGUGGUGGGGUAAAGGCUCACCAAGCCGACGAUCUGUAGCUGGUCUGGGAGGACGACCGGCCACACUGGGACUGAGACACGGCCCAGACUCCUACGGGAGGCAGCAGUGGGGAAUUUUGGACAAUGGGCGAAAGCCUGAUCCAGCCAUGCCGCGUGCAGGAUGAAGGCCUUCGGGUUGUAAACUGCUUUUGUACGGAACGAAAAGGUUUGGCCUAAUAAGCUGAGCUCAUGACGGUACCGUAAGAAUAAGCACCGGCUAACUACGUGCCAGCAGCCGCCGUAA